Molecule: long non-coding RNA, 838 nt
Organism: Alosa sapidissima (American shad)
Lineage: Eukaryota; Metazoa; Chordata; Actinopteri; Clupeiformes; Clupeidae
Exons: 3
Source: RefSeq, a predicted model, not a curated record
UGUCAAAUGAGACUGCUACAGCUUAAUUUAACGUUAAGUCAACCAACACGGUCUGUGACCAGUUAACGUUAGAACUAGAAGCUAACUUAGCAACUUGCUGGCCUUGCCUCCGUCCAAGAUAACCAAGUAAGGUUCUUCUUCUUCUCAAGGGUCUCUUAAGAUUUGUCACAUUCAAGAGGACACAAAAAUGGAUCCUACAACAGGCAAUUGGAGAUCAUGAUUUGCUUGCAAUUUGCCAAAUGCUGUGUGUCCUCCAGGGGUCAGCAAAGGCAUUUGGUGCUACAAAUUGUGCAUGUCUGCUGGUGCUCUUUUAGUGUCAGUGAAGAAGACUCACGAUGAACUGCCAUGUUAGACAUCCAAGAAAAUACACAUAGAAACCACCUGCGUGAAUCUGUAAAUCAAAGGCAAGAUGAGAACAAAACCUUCACAUGACUGUGCUGACAGCAAGAGGAAGUGAGGGUACACUGGCCUUGAAGUACUCUACAACCUUGAUCAGACAAGUGCAGCAAUGCAAAAUGGUCACUGUUGCAUGUAUGUGCUACUGAAUGAUAAAACACAAAUUAAUUUGUUUGUAUUUCAGUAAAGUUAUUCAAUAACUGUAUAAAAACAUUUCAAACAAAGAAUUGAAUAUGAAUAUGCAGAAACAAAGAAACAAUUGUCCAUCAAAAAUAAAUCAUUGUUGCAGGUCUAGAACAUUCCAGUUAUUCACAAAACAAUAAUGUGGACAUGGUGUUGAGGGUGCAUUAAGUGCAUUUGUGUUCACACCAGCCUUUCCAGAUUCAGAUUCCAGUUUCUCGAAACACCUGGAAGCUCACACUAAAAGGCUUCCUCUCCUGCC